CAGCAGGACCACUGCAGGGGCAACCACCAUCAGAUAGAACCACCAUCCACAGAAUCCUGUGGGGAGGGAGAGCACAGAGAUUUUAGGAGAGGGUAAUGUCGGUUUAUGAGUAAAGUAAUAUGAUUAAUAUCUAAAAUAAUUAUGAUGAUGAUGGCAGCAGCAGGCGUCAGCAUGGCCACGGUAGGUGUCAGGACCAGGGUCCCGAAGGAACCACGAUCUACGGAGACCUGAUAGGAGAGAAAGCACACAAAAAACUCCCGGAAAGAAGCUGAAUUAGUCAUGUGCAUUAAUAAAACUUGAAUUAUGGUAGAACGAGAGUGUGAGAGAGGAGCUUGGUGUGUCCUAAGAAUUCCCCCGGCAUUCUAAGCCUAUAGCAGCUUAACUAAGGGCUGGUCCGGACUAACCUGAGCCAGCCCUAACUAUAGGCAGAAUCAAAGAGGAACGUUUUAAGUUUUACUUUAAAAGAGCUGACCGAAUCUGCCCCCCGGACUGAAAGUGGAACCUGGUUCCACAAAAGAGGAGCUUGAUAACUGAAGGCUCUGGCCCCCAGCCUACUUUUUAAAACCCUAGGAACAACAAGUAACCCAGCAUCUAUGGAGCGCAGUUGCCUUGUAGGGCAAUACGGUGUUACAAGCUCUUGAAGAUACAACGGUGCCUCACCAGCAAGUGCCUUGUAGGUGAGGAGAAGUACCUUAAAAUCUAUUCUUGAUUUAACAGGGAGCCAGUGCAGAGAAGUUAAUACAGGAGUGAUAUGAUCCCUUUUCUUAGUUCUUGUUAAUACACGUGCUGCAGCAUUCUGAAUCAACUGGAGAGGCUUAAGAGAUUUAUAGUUAGUACUGUCAUUAUUUUUAUUGUAUAGAGACGUAAUGUAUAGGUGUGGUACUAGUGUACAGCUGUUUCCAUUUAUAUUGUAAUAAUACCCAAUGAUAAGUAAAUUGGUAUUGGGUAGCAAGUAUAUUGUCUGAAAGGAGUUGUGGAGUCAUCUUUUAUUAAACAAAUUUCCCUUUUUGUUUAACUGCACAUUGUCUGUGGAGCAUUCAAGACUUAAUACUUCAUGAAAAAUUUUACCUUCAGCACUAGUUUUUGGAUUUUGGGAGAUGAUUGAUAAUGUUGACUAAUAUAUUUUUAUUGUCUUUUAAAAAAAUAUCGUUUUUACAUCAUUGCUGUAUUAUCUGCUACUUUUCAGUUAGAUGCAAAGAUUGGAAAAAUGUUUCCUGGGAAGCAAUACCUCUUCCUUCGGAAAUGGGAAGGACAUAUUGUUUCAACUACUGAAAGUGGCAACGCUUGAAAAUGACCCCCAUGCCAGCUGGUGAGGAGAGUGAUGAGUUACUUUGCUUCAGAGCCCUUCAGAUGCUCACACACUAUUUGCCUCCUACGUCCGGGAGGGCUAAAGGAUGGGCCAAGUGCAGUGUGAAAUCGGCCCUUUUUGUACAUCUUGGACAUAAAAAGAAAAGCAGCUUUGGUCUUUGAAUCCCAUCUCAAGUAUCAACACAUGGUUAUCCAUCUUUUACAUUGACUAAAGGGCUAUGUCAGACUUUUUCAAAAUAUGCUUAGGUAUGGAAAGUCAUGUUUGAUAACCCUGUUGUUGUUAUACUGGACUACAUGGUAACUGGAUGUAUGCUACAGUAUUAAAUGUUCAGCAUUUGGAUUCCCACAUAUAUUCUGAUUUUGUGUAAAACAUUACUUGAUUUAUAUAUUUUGUUUUAUAUCGUGAAUUUAGACAGACAUUUGUGUGCUAUGAUAUAGAAAAAAACAUUAUUUGAUAUCAGCCCUUACCAGCCCUAUUUGAUAUACUUGUGUUUUCCCCAGACUGGAACAAGCAUCCACAGCCUUCUAGAGGGAGCUCCUGAGGAGGGCUUUGGAUAAAAGCGUCUGCUAAAUGACAUGUAAUGUAAUGAAAUUUGGGGUCACCUGCUAGGGCUAUUGGCCCCGCGAUCCGAGACACACAAGGAGCGUCAAGCUAACAUAAAUGCUUUCAAUAUAUCUUACAUAUCAUUAGUUCCUGCACAAUGAGCUUAAAUGAAAUGAUCAAUAUUCCCAAAAUUCCAAUAAAGUCAUGGAAAUUUUGUUUGAAGUCAUGGAAAUACAUUGGUCAAAAUGUGUAUGAACCCUGAAAAAAGGUGAAUCUACUGUAGAGUAGUAAAAGAAGGCAGACGCACCUAUCAAUCCGUUUGGAUUAGGACACAAAGUUGAGUCUUUUCUGACUCACCCCUGCUGUUCUCCAGCUCUUUAAAGCCUAAUAGAAAAUAAUGAUUGAAAGCUGUAAAGGUCAAACAGAGCUGCUGUUACACCGGACAUUUUAUUUCAUAUGCAUUAUUUAUCCUCAAGUCUACAUCCCUUAAAAUAUAAAUUAUGCUGUUAUAACAUAUACACCAUGUACCAUAACAUACAUACAUGAUACAUAAUCUGGACAGACUAGUUUCAGAUUUAAAUAUUUCAAAAGUAAAGUGCAUAACCUCCUAAUAGGGCACAUCGUGAAAGCGAAUGCAUCAUGGCCCUUUUGGUUCAUUCAGCUUCUGUUUGCAGAGAGACCGAAUCAACAUUGUAUUGGUAUUUUCUUUUCUUUUUUCGUAAACUACAUAAUAAAGUAUAUAGGUCUCAGGACCCCAUAUCCAUCUGUAACCAUGUCAUCAACAUCUGCCCGGUGCCAUGCUGCUGUGAGAGUUUGUUACAGGCUGCUUGGCCGUCACAGAAAACCUUUAUUUUUAUAGUGUUCAUGAAUUAAAGAUGGCUUCCCCUAGGGUGUAGAAGUAGAGUAGGCUUUAUAGAUUCCCCUCACUCCUCUGCAUUAAUUCUCCUAAAUACCACAGGCCGUGUAUCAAGAUGUUAGACACAGAAAACAAUAACAGCCAAACAUUCUUAUCUAGCUUUUUGUUUCUAUUUCUUCCUCGAAAUAUCCCUUACUUGUUUUUCUCCCUGGCUUCCCGCUUUCUGAAAGUUCAAGCCAGUCUAUUAAAAACUGGAUUACCCACAAGUCACCAGGUUAUGUACUCCAUCACUGCUGAAGGUCAAGUUUUCUUGUUCCGUUGCAGGGGGAUUUGGGGAAAUGGGAAUGGUAUAAUGGUUUUAUUUGUACCCGUGGGAAAAAAAAACGUGAAUAAAUUUGAAUAGAUGUAGACGUUGGUUGCGUGUUAUGCUAUGUUUUCUUAUCAGGCAGAUUUUAAUAAAGAUUACUUCUCGUAAAUUAAAUGAAAUAAAAAAAUGGCAGGGAUUUGAACAAAACAGGGAUUAGGGAAAAGGUUUCUGAGAACAAAACAGAGGGGUAAAAGGUCUCCCUGUAAUCUACCACAGUUUGUAUUGGAUGUAUUUUAAAUAUGCGUAAUUGCUUUAGUUAAUGUGAUUUGAUUGAUUGUUUCGUUACUAUUGCACUCGCUUUUCCACACCAAGAGCUGAGCCGGAAGGCAAAGCUCUGCUCUGUUUUGUGGUCAUCAACUAAGGAUCAUGACUGUACCUGACCUGCAUGCGGCGGUAAUUCUGGAACGGGGGACCAUACCUUUUCCAGCAGCCCUACGGGAGCCUACACAUGAUCAUCCAUCAACCCUCAGCCAACGGCCUGGAGGCUACGAACCAAAGAUGGCCAGGCUGGAAGACUCUGACAACAUUGAGCACUAUUUAACCACCUUCGAACGGCUUGCAACAGUCUUUGACUGGCUAAAGGAGGACUGGGCCAUUCACCUCAUUCCGCUCCUGACUGCAUUUGUAGCUAUGGAUCCAGAGAGCACUUUGGACUAGGACCUUUUAAGGGAGGCUGUGCUAAAAAAAUGAGAUCAACUCAGAGACUUAUCAUCUGGAGACCAGCCGGGAGGAGACGCCACAACUCUACGUCUGCCUGAGGGAUCUCUUCUACCAGUGGGUCAAGUUCGACCCGAGCAGCAAGGAGGGCCUCAUGGAGACUAUGGUGCUGGAACAGUAUCUAAGAGUCCUCUGUCCAGAGGUGAGGACCUGGGUCAAAGAACACAACCCAGCAACGGCAGCUAAAGUGGCCAGGCUGGUGGAGAACUUUGUGGCAGCACACCGAGGCUCCAGGAGCUACCGUUAUGCUGGAAUACUGGAUAGACAAGCCCAGGGUAAGUCUGUUGGGCCUGGUAGAGGAGUGGAUUUUGAAACUACCCUAGCUAUAAUAGAAACCUAUUACCCCGGAUAGUGGAACGCCUCAAGCCAUAUCAUGUUUUAAUUGUGGUAGGGAAGGUCAUAAAAGCCCCUCUUGCCCACUCUGGAAGGCUAAAUACAAUCACCUGUGUUAUAUUCCCAAUCCCACCCCACCUGGUACGACCAAGCAGAACAGAGGCCCUGUUAUACCCAUCAAGCUUAAUGGCAAGCGGGUCACCGCUCUCAUAGACACGGGCUGUUCACAGACGUUGGUGCAGGCUGACCAAGUCCCCCAGGAGUUAUAUUACAUUACAUGUCAUUUAGCUGACGCUUUUAUCCAAAGCGACGUACAAUAAGUGCAUUUAACCAUAGGGUACAAACUCAGGAGAACAAGAAAGUGCAAUUUUCUCAAAUAAGCCAAUUUACAAUUUGCUAUAGAUGAGUGACGUUACAAGUACAAUUUAAGUGCUACAAUUUGUUAGUCUUUAGUCGAGGUAGAGUCUGAAGAGGUGUGUCUUUAGUUUGCGGCGGAAGAUGUGAAGGCUCUCUGCGGUCCUGAUGUCUUCAGAGAGCUCGUUCCACCAUUUCGGCGCAAGGACAGCGAAGAGUCGAGACCUAGUCGAGUGUUUUGCUCUCAGUGAGGGAGGGACGAGUAGUUUUGCAGAUGCAGAGCGGAGAGUGCGGGUUGGGAUGUAGGGUUUGACCAUGUCCUGGAUGUAAGCUGGACCCGAUCCAUUCACAGCAUGGUACGUGAGCACCAAUGUUUUGAACUGGAUGCGGGCGGCCACCGGUGAAGAGAGCGGAGGAGUGGAGUAGUGUGGGAGAAUUUCGGAAGGUUGAAGACCAGUCGAGCUGCUGCAUUCUGAAUGAGCUGCAGAGGUCGAAUGGCGGUGGCAGGGAGACCUGCCAGGAGGGAGUUGCAGUAGUCCAGGCGGGAGAUGACAAGAGCCUGAAUCAGUACUUGCGCUGCCUUCUGAGUGAGAAGGGGACGUAUUCUCCUGAUGUUGUAGAGCGUGUAUCUACAGGAUCGCGUUGUCGCGGCGAUGUUGGGAGUCAGGGAGAGUUUGCUGUCGAGUGUGACGCCGAGGUUCUUAGCGGUCAAAGUGGGCGUUAGUACGGAGUUUCCAAAGUUGACUGUCAGGUCCUGGGUAAGCGAAUCUUUUCCGGGAAAGAGAAGUAGUUCAGUUCAAGAACUUUAACUUUAAUGACAAACUUACGGUCUUUUGUGUUCAUGGUGAUCAGAGCGAGCACAGCACAUCAGAUGUGUUGGUUAGGGUGUGUGGUCAGACAAACCUGCUUAGGGUAGGACUAGUCCCAAAACUCCCCUAUCCAGUGUUGUUGGUGUCAGGAUCUCCCAGUAUUGCCCGAGCUAGUGAGCAAGACUGCCUGGUGUGGGGUAGUCACUAGAGCUAGGGGCAACACCAAGAAGACCUGGCCGAAUUGUCGUACCAUGGAGAGGAUAUCCCGGUACAGCCCAUAUACGCUACUGAGGAGAGGUAUGACGAGCGCAGACAAAGGGUUGGAGGGAUUUUGGAACAUUCUCAUAUGCAGCCAGAGUCGGGACGUUGGUUCCCCGAGUUUGUCGGAGGUGGAUGUAACUUUUAGGGCUUAUCUUACUAAAGAACAGGGUGCAGACCCCACCCUUAGCCCAUUGUUUAAGAAGGCAAAGGACGGUUCUGGUUUGGUUCCGGCACUUGGGAAAGAGGGGUACAUUGUUCAGAACAACCUCCUCUAUAGGCAGAGUGAGGAGGGACUUCGGCUAGUGGUGCCCCACAAGUUUAGAAGAGAGUGGGGCCCCUGGAGAGCAGCAAGGCAGGGAAUAGUCAUUUAGUUGUCUGACUAUGCAACCAGAUACCCAGAAGAUUUCCCGAUGAGAGAGGUCACCACAGCUAUGUUCAACCUGUUUUCCAGAGUAGGGAUUCCCCGGGAGGUUCUACUUGUUCUUACGCGUCACUUGUUCGCUAGUGCACUUUUAUUUUUUAAAUAUUUUUAAUUUGAACUUUAUUCUCUUAUUUUAUACUAACCCAUAGCAUUAGCAUUUUAUUUUAUUACUUGUGCACUGCUGUCUUGUUGUCUAUUGUUACACUGUCUGUCACGCACCAACCGCCAAGUCAAAUUCCUUGUAUGUAUGACAUAUUUGGCAAUAAAUGUUUCUUGAUUCCUACCAGAUCAGGGCUCCAACUUCAUGAGCAAAACCCUCCGACAAGUGUAUGAUCUAUUAGGGAUAAAAAGAGUCCACACCAUACCACCUCCAGACAGAUGGACUAGUGGAGCGGUUCCUUGUGAACAUGCUCAGGAAGUUUGUGGAUGACACUGGAAAAGACUGGGACCAGUGACUACCUUACCUGCUGUUCGCAUACAGAGAGGUCUCUCAGGCUUCAACAGGAUUCUCACCCUUCGAGCUCCUGUACGAACAUCAGGUUCGAGGUCCACUGGAUAUUUUGAAGAAGACAUCUCAGGCAAGACAGACAUAAUCUCCUAUGUCUUGAAGAUGAGGGAGAAGAUUGCAGCCACAGCUGCUAUGGCUCAGUGUGUGCAAGGUCGGCAGAAGGCAUGGUAUGAUCGGUGCGCCCGUACCCGCUGUUUCCAGCCUGGAGAGAAGGUCCUGCUGUUGUUGCCAAGCUCAGAGAACAAGCUGUUGGCAAUAUGGCAAGGACCCUAUUCGGUGACCUACGAAGUCCACAUGCCAGACCGGCGCAGGAAACAUCAGGUUUUCCACGUCAAUAUGCUAAAGAAGUAGAGUGAGAGGCCGUUCCGUUGAGGAGGAGGAGUACAGCGAGCAGUACUUGCCUGGCCGGGACGAGAAGAGCAAGUUGGAUCUGAGUCAUCGGCCGGA
Molecule: long non-coding RNA, 6925 nt
Organism: Gasterosteus aculeatus aculeatus (three-spined stickleback)
Lineage: Eukaryota; Metazoa; Chordata; Actinopteri; Perciformes; Gasterosteidae
Source: Ensembl